GCAAAUAUGGGGCGGUUCGAUAUUGUCUCUAAGGACGUGGGUGUUCCUGUUGUAGCAUUUUCUCUCAGAGACAGCAGCAAAUAUACGGUAUUUGAAGUGUCUGAGCACCUCAGAAGAUUUGGAUGGAUCGUCCCAGCAUACACAAUGCCUCCAGAUGCUGAACACAUUGCUGUUCUGCGGGUUGUCAUUCGAGAGGAUUUUAGCCACAGCCUAGCAGAGAGACUUGUAUCAGACAUUGAGAAAAUUCUGACAGAGUUAGACACACAGCCUUCUCGUUUGCCCACCAUAUCUGCUCGCGUCACUGCAGAGGAAGUGCAGAAUGACAAGGGUGAUGGGUUUCAUCAGUUUCACACCGAUAUUGUAGAGACUCAGAAGGACAUAAUCAAGCAUUGGAGGAGAAUUGCGGGGAAGAAGACCAGCGGAGUUUGUUAG
This 432-nucleotide long non-coding RNA is filed under the name Capsicum annuum. RNAcentral's name for it is "long non-coding RNA (CANN_LNC004257)". Lineage: Eukaryota; Viridiplantae; Streptophyta; Magnoliopsida; Solanales; Solanaceae. The record is from RNAcentral.